GAACGCACCUUGCACCCUCUGGUAUUCCGGAGGGUACACCCGUUUGAGUGUCAUUGUAAUCUCACACCCAGGAUUCGGUCCAAGGGUUGUGGACUCUGGAUGCUGUCGUGCAAACACGGCUCGUCUCAAAUGCAUGAGUGUACCCUUCCUGCGUGGUGUAUUCAGUGUGAUAAGCAUCCUCACUGGUACCCAGCCCCCCCGGGCUUGGUGUUGGGGAUCGGCGAGCCUCCGCGCCCGCCGUCCCCUAAAUCUAGUGGCGGUCUCGCUGUAGCUUCCUCUGCGUAGUAGCACCCCUCGCACUGGGAAACAGCGCGGCCACGCCGUUAAACACCCAACUUCUGAAAGUUUGACCUCGGAUCAGGUAGGAAUACCCGCUGAACUUAAG
RNAcentral lists this unclassified non-coding RNA (385 nucleotides) under uncultured Nectriaceae. RNAcentral's name for it is "sequence contains 5.8S rRNA gene". Lineage: Eukaryota; Fungi; Ascomycota; Sordariomycetes; Hypocreales; Nectriaceae. The record is from RNAcentral.